Molecule: ribosomal RNA, 465 nt
Filed under: Vreelandella stevensii
Lineage: Bacteria; Pseudomonadati; Pseudomonadota; Gammaproteobacteria; Oceanospirillales; Halomonadaceae
Description: partial 16S ribosomal RNA
Rfam family: Bacterial small subunit ribosomal RNA
Source: RNAcentral
CCUACGGGCGGCUGUAGUGGGGAAUAUUGGACAAUGGGGGGAACCCUGAUCCAGCCAUGCCGCGUGUGUGAAGAAGGCCCUCGGGUUGUAAAGCACUUUCAGUGAGGAAGAACGCCUGGUGGUUAAUACCCAUCAGGAAAGACAUCACUCACAGAAGAAGCACCGGCUAACUCCGUGCCAGCAGCCGCGGUAAUACGGAGGGUGCGAGCGUUAAUCGGAAUUACUGGGCGUAAAGCGCGCGUAGGUGGCUUGAUAAGCCGGUUGUGAAAGCCCCGGGCUCAACCUGGGAACGGCAUCCGGAACUGUCAAGCUAGAGUGCAGGAGAGGAAGGUAGAAUUCCCGGUGUAGCGGUGAAAUGCGUAGAGAUCGGGAGGAAUACCAGUGGCGAAGGCGGCCUUCUGGACUGACACUGACACUGAGGUGCGAAAGCGUGGGUAGCAAACAGGAUUAGAUACCCCGGUAGUC